GCAUUGGUGGUUCAGCUGUAGAAUUAUUGCCUUCCAUGCAGGAGACCCAGGUUCUAUUCACAGUCAAUGCU
Molecule: transfer RNA, 71 nt
Filed under: Loxodonta africana (African savanna elephant)
Lineage: Eukaryota; Metazoa; Chordata; Mammalia; Proboscidea; Elephantidae
Rfam family: tRNA
About the family: Transfer RNA (tRNA) molecules are approximately 80 nucleotides in length. Their secondary structure includes four short double-helical elements and three loops (D, anti-codon, and T loops). Further hydrogen bonds mediate the characteristic L-shaped molecular structure. tRNAs have two regions of fundamental functional importance: the anti-codon, which is responsible for specific mRNA codon recognition, and the 3' end, to which the tRNAs corresponding amino acid is attached (by aminoacyl-tRNA synthetases). tRNAs cope with the degeneracy of the genetic code in two manners: having more than one tRNA (with a specific anti-codon) for a particular amino acid; and 'wobble' base-pairing, i.e. permitting non-standard base-pairing at the 3rd anti-codon position.
Source: Rfam by way of RNAcentral